AGAUUUACAAAUAAGUCAACAUGACUGAAAUGGUCAGUUGACCCCUUUAGGAGUUAUUGCCCUUUAUAGUCAAUUUUUAACCAUUUUUCGUAAAUCUUAGUAAUAUUUUACAAAAAUCUUCUCCUCUGAAACUACUGGGCCAAAUUAAUCCAAACUUGGCCACAAUCAUCUUUUGGGUUAGUAGUUUGAAAAAUGUGUCCGGUGACCCGGCCAUCAAACCAAGAUGGCCGCCAUGGCUAAAAAUAGAACAUAGAGUAAAAUGCAGUUUUUGGCUUAUAACUCAAAACCCAAAGCAUUUAGAGCAAAUCUGACAGGGGUAAAAUUGUUUAUCAGUUCAAGAUCUAUCUGCCCUGAAAUUUUCAGAUGAAUCGGACAACCCGUUGUUGGGUUGCUGGCCCUGAAUAGUAAUUUUAAGGAAAUUUUGCUCUUUUUGGUUAUUAUCUUGAAUAUUAUUAUAGAUAGAGAUAAACUAUAAACAGCAAUAAUGUUCACCAAAGUAAGAUUUACAAAUAAGUCAAACAUGACUGAAAUGGUCAGUUGACCCCUUUAGGAGUUAUUGCCCUUUAUAGUCAAUUUUUAACCAUUUUUCGUAAAUCUUAGUAAUCUUUUACAAAAAUCUUCUCCUCUGAAACUACUUGGCCAAAUUAAUCAAAACUUGGCCACAAUCAUCUUUUGGGUUAGUAGUUUGAAAAAUGUGUCUGGUGACCCGGCCAUCUAACCAAGAUGGCCGCCAUGGCUAAAAAUAGAACAUGGGGUAAAAUGCAGUUUUUGGCUUAUAACUCAAAACCCAAAGCAUUUAGAGCAAAUCUGUCGGGG
RNAcentral lists this long non-coding RNA (816 nucleotides) under Mytilus galloprovincialis (Mediterranean mussel). The record is from RNAcentral. Lineage: Eukaryota; Metazoa; Mollusca; Bivalvia; Mytilida; Mytilidae.